AGAGUUUGAUCCUGGCUCAGAUUGAACGCUGGCGGCAUGCCUUACACAUGUAAGUCGAACGGUAACAGGGAGCUUGCUCCGCUGACGAGUGGCGAACGGGUGAGUAAUACAUCGGAACGUGCCCAGUAAUGGGGGAUAGCUCGGCGAAAGCUGGAUUAAUACCGCAUACGCCCUGAGGGGGAAAGUGGGGGACCGCAAGGCCUCACGUUAUUGGAGCGGCCGAUGGCUGAUUAGCUAGUUGGUAGGGUAAAGGCCUACCAAGGCGACGAUCAGUAGCUGGUCUGAGAGGACGAUCAGCCACACUGGGACUGAGACACGGCCCAGACUCCUACGGGAGGCAGCAGUGGGGAAUUUUGGACAAUGGGGGAAACCCUGAUCCAGCAAUGCCGCGUGUGCGAAGAAGGCCUUCGGGUUGUAAAGCACUUUUGUCAGGGAAGAAAUCCUUUGGGCUAAUACCCUAGGGGGAUGACGGUACCUGAAGAAUAAGCACCGGCUAACUACGUGCCAGCAGCCGCGGUAAUACGUAGGGUGCAAGCGUUAAUCGGAAUUACUGGGCUUAAAGCGUGCGCAGGCGGUUGUGUAAGACAGGUGUGAAAUCCCCGGGCUUAACCUGGGAAUUGCAUUUGUGACUGCACGACUAGAGUGUGUCAGAGGGGGGUGGAAUUCCACGUGUAGCAGUGAAAUGCGUAGAUAUGUGGAGGAACACCAAUGGCGAAAGGCAGCCCCCUGGGAUAACACUGACGCUCAUGCACGAAAGCGUGGGGAGCAAACAGGAUUAGAUACCCUGGUAGUCCACGCCCUAAACGAUGUCAACUAGUUGUUGGGGAUUUACUUCCUUGGUAACGUAGCUAACGCGUGAAGUUGACCGCCUGGGG
This 875-nucleotide ribosomal RNA is filed under the name uncultured bacterium. RNAcentral describes it as "bacterial SSU rRNA". It matches the Rfam family "Bacterial small subunit ribosomal RNA", at positions 8 to 878 of the family's 1533-position model. The record is from RNAcentral.